UUAGGACUGUCAUAAAACAAGAUAGCUGACUCGGUGAUCAAAGGAUUUCCAAUCAUUAUUGUUCGAUUAGAAUUACAGAGUUUGAACUGAAUACGAAACUAUCGGAGUGUGAAGUGUAACCCCAAGAGGCACAGCCAUGGAAAUCCCACCUCCCUCCCCAAAAAGAAACCCUGAAAAAAGACAGGUUCGAAUUCAACAAGCUUGUACUUUCCCCAUGAUAACCAUAAACGCGAUUGAUGAAGAAGUAUCGAAAAAGAAGAGGAAAAUGGAGAGGACAGAUUUUCCUCAGCAGGUUGAGAUUGUUGACCUUGAGAGCGAUUUGUUUUCUAUUACAGCCAUUCCAGACAAAGGCACCACUAAGAAAAACGCUAUUUCAGUAGAACAAUACUGUGAACAAAGAGACAUCCAACUUGCCAUCAAGGCUUCGAUGACAACCUCGGACGAUAACUACAUAGAUCUCGACAUUUACGAUGAUGAUUUGUUCGUGCUUAACUUCGAGCCCCUAAAGACUCCUCCCAGAAAGAAGCGUGGAAAGAGAAAAAAACCCUUCAGCGAUUGUUCCAUAACUGAGCCUGGAGAGUCAUCAAAUUCCAAAGCCGUCGAAGGCCCACCUUUUAUCUGUGAAAUCUGCGUUGAACCAAGGCAAGCAAACGAGUCGUUUAACAUCAAAGGUUGCUCCCACGCUUACUGUAAGGAUUGCAUGAUCAAAUAUGUAGCUUCUAAAGUACAAAACAAGAUUACAGCCAUAACUUGCCCCGUGGCAAACUGUGAGGGUUUAUUAGAACCUGAGUACUGUCGCAAUAUACUUCCAAGAGAAGUUUUUGAUAGGUGGGGAGAUGCUUUAUGCGAGGCAGUGAUUUUAGGGUCUGAAAGGUUUUAUUGUCCUUUUAAAGAUUGUUCCAUGCUUUUGAUUGAUGAUGGAGGACAGGCUGUAAGAGAAUCGAUAUGUCCUAAUUGUCGGAGACUGUUUUGCGCACAGUGUAAAGUACCUUGGCAUGCUGGAGUUGAAUGUGGGGAAUUUCAGAGGUUGCAUACAGAUGAAAGACAGAGGGAAGAUAUUUUGUUGAUGAAGCUGGCUAAGGACAAGAAGUGGGCUAGGUGCCCAAGAUGUGGAUUCGUUGUUGAGAGAACUGAGGGCUGUAGGUAUAUGAGAUGCAGAAUCUGUUCCUCGGCGCCCUUGGAACCCACUAUGGAUGAUUGCUCAACAUCCUUCAUCGAUUUGUUGACUUGUACAAGAAUUAAGAAUUUCAUUGCAAGCUGAGUAAUUGACAUAUAAGAGGACUAUAACCACUGAUAAAGGCAAUUUGGCGUAGAGAAUAUUUUUCCUCUGAAUUUCAGAAAGCAGAGUACUUCAGUCUAAAGCAUUAACAAGGUGUGGAACUGCUUUCUGCUACGACUGUGGAUCAGCCCAAAUGGAUGGUCACCAUUAUUGCCAUAAAUGUAAACGUUAAAAUUUCUC
Theobroma cacao (cacao) is the source of this 1459-nucleotide RNA transcript. It is a transcript of the gene named E3 ubiquitin-protein ligase RSL1-like, with no coding region annotated. NCBI's taxonomy places the organism in Eukaryota, Viridiplantae, Streptophyta, Magnoliopsida, Malvales, Malvaceae. The record is from RefSeq and is a predicted model, not a curated record.